GUGGGGAAUUUUGGACAAUGGGCGCAAGCCUGAUCCAGCCAUUCCGCGUGCAGGAUGAAGGCCUUCGGGUUGUAAACUGCUUUUGUACGGAACGAAAAGCCUCUGGUUAAUACCCGGGGGUCAUGACGGUACCGUAAGAAUAAGCACCGGCUAACUACGUGCCAGCAGCCGCGGUAAUACGUAGGGUGCGAGCGUUAAUCGGAAUUACUGGGCGUAAAGCGUGCGCAGUCGGUGAUGUAAGACAGUUGUGAAAUCCCCGGGCUCAACCUGGGAACUGCAUCUGUGACUGCAUUGCUGGAGUGCGGCAGAGGGGGAUGGAAUUCCGCGUGUAGCAGUGAAAUGCGUAGAUAUGCGGAGGAACACCGAUGGCGAAGGCAAUCCCCUGGGCCUGCACUGACGCUCAUGCACGAAAGCGUGGGGAGCAAACAGGAUUAGAAACCCGUGUAGUCC
RNAcentral lists this ribosomal RNA (450 nucleotides) under uncultured bacterium. Its description in RNAcentral is "partial 16S ribosomal RNA". It matches the Rfam family "Bacterial small subunit ribosomal RNA", at positions 354 to 796 of the family's 1533-position model. The record is from RNAcentral.